GUAACACGUGAGCAACCUGCCUAUCAGAGGGGAAUAACAGUGAGAAAUCAUUGCUAAUACCGCAUAUGCCAUAAAUACCACAUGAUGAAAGUGGGAAAGGAGUAAUCCGCUGAUAGAUGGGCUCGCGUCUGAUUAGAUAGUUGGUGGGGUAACGGCCUACCAAGUCGACGAUCAGUAGCCGGACUGAGAGGUUGAACGGCCACAUUGGGACUGAGAUACGGCCCAGACUCCUACGGGAGGCAGCAGUCGGGAAUAUUGCGCAAUGGAGGAAACUCUGACGCAGUGACGCCGCGUAUAGGAAGAAGGUUUUCGGAUUGUAAACUAUUGUCGUUAGGGAAGAUACAAGACAGUACCUAAGGAGGAAGCUCCGGCUAACUACGUGCCAGCAGCCGCGGUAAUACGUAGGGAGCAAGCGUUAUCCGGAUUUAUUGGGUGUAAAGGGUGCGUAGACGGGAAAGCAAGUUAGUUGUGAAAUCCCUCGGCUUAACUGAGGAACUGCAACUAAAACUACUUUUCUUGAGUGUUGGAGAGGAAAGUGGAAUUCCUAGUGUAGCGGUGAAAUGCGUAGAUAUUAGGAGGAACACCGGUGGCGAAGGCGACUUUCUGGACAAUAACUGACGUUGAGGCACGAAAGUGUGGGGAGCAAACAGGAUUAGAUACCCUGGUAGUCCACACCGUAAACGAUGGAUACUAGGUGUAGGGAACAUU
This 708-nucleotide ribosomal RNA is filed under the name uncultured bacterium. RNAcentral's name for it is "bacterial SSU rRNA". It matches the Rfam family "Bacterial small subunit ribosomal RNA", at positions 110 to 833 of the family's 1533-position model. The record is from RNAcentral.